UUGAAUGCUGGCUCCAUCCAUCCUUCCUCGGCUCCUUGAGCUUUGACAAUGGGCCCAGUCCACCUCUUGGCUAACCAAGCGAUCCAUUCCCGCGUCAUGCGCUCGAGACCUAUUAUAAACAUUCGCAUUUGAUAUACAUUCUUUGCCCCUAUUACCAUUCAUUAAUCCCGAAGACAUAGAACUCCAAGAGGGAAAGUUCCUUACUCAAAGACUUUUGAGGAUCGACUAGCUCGCAGGUUCACAGGAGUGAUGCGUUCUUGGUGCCAUUGCCUGGUUCUAUUGUUGGUAAUCAACCUGCUAGCGCCCCAACAGAUAGAAGCCUUUGGAUGUAGCAAAGAAAUAUGUUCUCUUUUUCCUAUCCUAAGUCCACCUUGUUGUUUGCUGGGUCACGUGUGCUGUGCUAUGGCAAUUCAAUUUAUUCAGGGCAGCAAACCUUUGAAGGAGUGUAAAGCAUCAGCAACAGCUGCUCCUGCGAUACCUAGUGCUGAUGUGAGGGUAUAUCCCGUCCCUCCCCUACGAUGGAUCUGAUCAAGACUUCUAACAGAAUCCGUACCGGUUUUCCCAGGUAACUAAAAUCGUUGUGACUUCUGUGACAAUUCCAUUUGCUCAUUCCUCCAAGAUGACUCAUGGGAUGGAUGAAAGACCAAUUAUGAUGAUGUCGAAUGAUGACUGUUUCCAUCUGAUACGCUGCAUUAUUCCAACUCAGAAAACCUUAAUCUCAUAAAUUAAUCUCGAAAGGAACAAUUAUUAUUAUUAUUUCUCUUAUUUAUUAUUUUCUUUUAGGUUAGGGUCAGUUGCGAUAAAUGGAAACAAAAAAUCAAUUUUCGAUCCUUUACUUUCUUUUGGAUGAAUUGAGAGAUAGCAUUUCGUGCGUUGUGUCCAGAACUACACUCUAUGAGAGUAACUGGGUUCGAUAAGUUUGACUUUUAGAACUGCUUGUUAGCAAAUGAAAUUAUGUUUACAUUUAUCCCAAAGUGUUUGUAUUUACCCCAUAGACUAGGAGGUAAAUGGAUACAGCAAUCCCCCCCUCCACUAGUGAGGUUGAUGUAGGUUGAAAAUCGCUAUAUACGCUACCAGUCUAGAAGUUUAGGAAGCUCUACACUAACUAUACUCAAUCUACGGCACAUGGGUCACAUGCGACCUGCUGAAUCAUCCAAAUGCAUUCGGAUAUCAUUUAACACGUUGACUGCCACGGCAAUUUUCAGAAAUCUUACCUAAAAUAAUGAUUUGAUUUAAUCACAUUAUAUUAUUUAAAACUCUAAUUCUAGUGCAUAAUUAUCAUCAAAAAGUAUAAAAAAUGAAACCACCUACCAGAAAAAAAACAGCGUCAGACAAUGUCAUGUCGUAUAUGUCCCCAAGCGAAUGAGAAACGCGUUAUUUCUGUCCAGCCUGUAAAGAGAAGCCACUCCUUUGUGUGGAAGGUUAUUUUAGGAAGUGCCACAAACAAUAAAAUAUUACUUAAUUAAAACUUUUAUUUCUAUAAUAUGAAUUAGUUUUUAUAAUUAUAUUUUUCAUUCGUUUUUUAAUAAAUUUUCUUUUUGUGCCAACCAACAUUGAUUUUCCUGAAACCUUCUAAUGAUGUUAGCACUGAUGUAUUCCGAGUUUAAUUGUAAAUGCACAAAAAUGGCCAGUAAACAAGUACGAGAUAACUCGUGGUUGGGGUCCUAGAAAAGAGCGCAAUUUACAAGUUAACUUGUAGAUGACAGUCAACGUCUUAAAAGAAAAAAAUCAAACAGAAAAUUGAAUUACGUGCAAAACUUAUGCAAAAAACACAUAAAAGUAUAAUUUACAUUAAAAUUAUACCUUCUAAAACAACAGGAAGAAUGAAAAAAUUAGUUGUUACCACUUACUCCAUGUAUGAGUCAAUGGAAACAUUUAACUGCAUAUCAAAAAAACAGGGAAAGUAAAACUUAUAAAUACAUGCAUUUAGUAACAUUCGUAUGACAAAUAAAACUAGUUUAAAUCAGUUACUUCGCGCUUAUAGACCUGCUGGGCGAGAAAUUUAAGAUCACUAAACUGAAAACACUAUUUUUUCAAGCAAUGAUGACAUUUAUACAAUUGUUCGGCAACUCUCUCGAAAUUUCUUUUUCAUGAUGUCUAAUCUUCACCCACCAAUAUUUUAGCUUCAAAAAUCGAUACCUGUGUGGUUAUAGAGUUUAAUACCAUUUGCCCCGACUGAUCCUAGCUAUAUUUUUAUAUAAAUUUUAUUUUCCUUUAAACGAAGACAUUUCCUUCUGAUGUUCCUUUAACAUUUGCACCAUCAAAGCAAUGGUGCGUUAAAAAGAAAUCUUAAAUCAGUUUUUCAGUUAUUUUCCAAUAUUUUCAUCUUUCCUUUUGCCUAAUGCUGUUUUGCCAGAGAAAUCUUUAUAAGAGCAAGAAAUAUGUUUAUUGUUAAUUUCGUUUCAUAUCCAUUUUUUCAUUAAACAAAUUUUAACUGUAUAAUUAUAAACAUUAAACAUUUGUAAGUUUAUACUACUCUAAAUUUUUAAAAAUAUAGUGAAACAUUAAAAGCAGGACACAAAGUUAAUCAAUGAUGAAUCUAAACCCUUAUAUUUUUCAAAAGUUAAAAGUAUCAAGAAUUACUGAUCAAACAAAACACUACAAAAAGCAUUUUUUAAGUAUUAAACUACUGUGGAUGCGAUCGCACAAAUAUGUGUCCUAAGAAAAACGAAAGUUAUUUAUCAAAACUCAUUGGAUGAAAAAAAAUCAUAGUUGAAGUAUCUGCACAUUAAAGAUUUUCAGACACAGCGUUUAAUUUGUUGAUGUCAUUUUAAACCUAAUGGAUAUUAAUCUUUGCACACAAUGGUCAUUAAACAUUUAUUCCAAGUAAAAAAUUAAGCAUUAAAAAUAAAUGUCUUGCACAAAGUGACUAUUUAUAUAACACUGCCUAGCACAAAUUAAUUUAAGCAAUUUAGCAAAAGAAAUUUUUAAUAUGUAAAUUUUUUCACAUAUGUUUUUAUACCAUUUGAUAUUAUAUUAAAUUUCUAAUGGUACAAUUUUAUGAGAAAUAUUUUUACGCUGUGUAUUUUU
Molecule: long non-coding RNA, 3030 nt
Organism: Uloborus diversus
Lineage: Eukaryota; Metazoa; Arthropoda; Arachnida; Araneae; Uloboridae
Exons: 4
Source: RefSeq, a predicted model, not a curated record